RNAcentral lists this ribosomal RNA (301 nucleotides) under uncultured bacterium. Its description in RNAcentral is "partial 16S ribosomal RNA". It matches the Rfam family "Bacterial small subunit ribosomal RNA", at positions 509 to 807 of the family's 1533-position model. The record is from RNAcentral.
CAGCCGCCGCGGUAAUACGUAGGGUGCAAGCGUUAAUCGGAAUUACUGGGCGUAAAGCGUGCGCAGGCGGUUAUAUAAGUCAGAUGUGAAAUCCCCGGGCUCAACCUGGGAACUGCAUUUGAGACUGUAUGGCUAGAGUGUGUCAGAGGGGGGUAGAAUUCCACGUGUAGCAGUGAAAUGCGUAGAUAUGUGGAGGAAUACCGAUGGCGAAGGCAGCCCCCUGGGAUAACACUGACGCUCAUGCACGAAAGCGUGGGGAGCAAACAGGAUUAGAGACCCGCGUAGUCCCUGUCUCUUAUAC